GUUUGAUCCUGGCUCAGAACUAACGCUAGUGGCGUGUCUUAGUCAUGCGAGUCGAACGAGAAAGUGUUCUUCGGAACGCGAGUACAGUGGCGAACGGGUGAGUAACACGUGGGUAAUCUGCCUCUAAGUUGGGAAUAACAUUUCUAACGAGGUGCUAAUACCGAAUGUGAAAUCGCGUCUUAUGUCGCGGUUUUAAAGGCAGCCUCUGCUUGCAUGCUGUCGCUUGGAGAUGAGCCCGCGUCCUAUUAGCUUGUUGGUGGGGUAAUGGCCUACCAAGGCGAUGAUGGGUAGCCGGCCUGAGAGGGUGAACGGUCACACUGGAACUGAGACAAGGUCCAGUCUCCUACGGGAGCCAGCAGUCUAGAAAUUUGCACAAUCAUCGAAAGAUGGAUGCAGCGACGCCACGUGGAGGAUGAAGCCUUUCGGGGUGUAAACUCCUGUCAGGAGGGAAGAAGGGGUAGCCGUUAAUACCGGUUGCCCUUGACGGUACCUCCAGAGGAAGCUCCGGCUAACUACGUGCCAGCAGCCGCGGUAAUACGUAGGGAGCGAGCGUUGUUCGGAUUUACUGGGCGUAAAGAGCAUGUAGGUGGGCAUGCAAGUCGGCUGUGAAAUCCUCUGGCUCAACCAGAGAACUGCAGCCGAAACUGCAUGCCUUGAGUCCAUCAGAGGGAAUCGGAAUCAAGAGUGUAGCGGUGAAAUGCGUAGAUAUUCUUGAGAACACCAGUGGCGAAGGCGGAUUCCUGGGAUGGUACUGACACUGAGAUGCGAAAGCUAGGGGAGCGAACAGGAUUAGAUACCCUGGUAGUCCUAGCCGUAAACGAUGGGCACUAGGUGUUGGAGGAGUUAACCCCUUCAGUGCCGUAGCUAACGCAUUAAGUGCCCCGCCUGGGGAGUACGGCCGCAAGGCUGAAACUCAAAGGAAUUGACGGGGACCCGCACAAGCGGUGGAGCAUGUGGUUUAAUUCGAUGCAACGCGAAGAACCUUACCUGGUCUUGACAUCCACAGAACUUAGCAGAGAUGCUUUGGUGCCUUCGGGAACUGUGAGACAGGUGCUGCAUGGCUGUCGUCAGCUCGUGUUGUGAAAUGUUGGGUUAAGUCCCGCUACGAGCGCAACCCUUAUCCUUUGUUGCCAGCGGUCCGGCCGGGAACUCAAAGGAGACUGCCAGUGAUAAACUGGAGGAAGUUGGGGAUGACGUCAAGUCAUCAUGGCCCUUACGACCAGGGCUACACACGUGCUACAAUGGCAUAUACAAAGAGAAGCGACCUCGCGAGAGCAAGCGGACCUCAUAAAGUAUGUCGUAGUCCGGAUUGGAGUCUGCAACUCGACUCCAUGAAGUCGGAAUCGCUAGUAAUCGUAGAUCAGAAUGCUACGGUGAAUACGUUCCCGGGCCUUGUACACACCGCCCGUCACACCAUGGGAGUGGGUUGCAAAAGAAGUAGGUAGCUUAACCUUCGGGAGGGCGCUUACCACUUUGUGAUUCAUGACUGGGGUGAAGUCGUAACAAGGUAACC
RNAcentral lists this ribosomal RNA (1513 nucleotides) under uncultured bacterium. RNAcentral's name for it is "partial 16S ribosomal RNA". It matches the Rfam family "Bacterial small subunit ribosomal RNA". The record is from RNAcentral.